CUGCUGACCACCACUGACAUUCGAGUGCAAGAUGACGGCAACAUCCAGCAGCAAUGUCCGCACUUUCCUGCCAAACGACUUAACUUCCUUCCACUUUAAUGUACUUUCAUCAGUUUGUGUUUGUCUAAAAACUCUUAAAGGCGAUGGAGGAGGAAAGAAAUCUAAGCAAACCUGAGGGGUCAGUUCCCGAGACAGAGGUUGGAAAUCUGCAUCUGGGGGAGAGCCAGUUCGGUCCCUCUGUAGCCUAAAUGGAGCAAGGUGACUGGGAAGGGGGCAGGCUUCCAGCAUCUGCUCCUCCAGGACAGCCCCUUCUUUCAGCAUGGCACACGCGCCGCUGAGCACAAGGGGUCGAGCCCGGAGAACACCGGGACACCCAGCCCGACCCUAACUGUCCAGCCUGCCUGCAGCUGCCGCUGGAACACGUGCGAGAGGCCGCUCAGUCGCCGAGAGCUGCGCUGUCCAGCCCUUUCCCGCGUCGAUCCCGCGCGGAAUCCCCUCAGGCGCCGUGAAUGGUGCUCACGGGACCCCACCCUUCCGCACCGCGCCGGCAGGUGGUCAGAUCCCAGGGGUGGCGAGUCUAUGGCUGAGCGACCUUGCUCCCCAAACAUCUGCCUUAGCGGCCUUGCAGACCUAGGCAUUUCAUUUUUUUUUUCUCCUCGCAAAAUGAGAUUAAUCUUUACUAAGGCAAAGUCAUGUUUUUUAAAAUGAGUUUGAGCCUGAAAACUUUAAUUUUAUAUUAUGUAGUUAUUAAAGAAUACGUAUUGUGGGGAAACUGACCAACUACAAUGCUAAAUGAAAAGGACAGGCUACACAGCUGUAUGGCAUACUUUGAAAAGAAAAUAGUUUUGGAGUGUUUGUAAGGGCCAGGCACUGAGUGAGCUAAAUCUGGAAUUUGUGGAUCAAUAAAACACAGUUCCUGCCUUGAAGGAGAGAAGCUAUUGGUUGGCAACAAAACCCUUAGCCGACAUAGGUCACUGGUUCUCAAAGUAGAUGUGGCUACCCCACCCCACCCCACUUUAUCCCUAAAGUGGGAUUCCAGAAGGCCAGAACUAUUUUCAUAAUUGUGGAAAAUAUAAUGGAAUUUCCCUCUGUGCAUUUGGAAAGGCUGUAUAACUUAGUGAACCAACAUUAUCCACUUGAUCAAUGCAUCAUGUUACAAAAUCAUGCGUGGAUUGUAUUUUGGAGAGCUAAUUCUGUCAGUUACUAGGAAUCAUCAUUUGCCUUGCCAUGUCUUGCUGAAUCUGCUUUCUACGUUGGGGUAGUAGUGACUCUUACAGAUCCAGGGACAUCACGCUGUGACAACGGAAGCGGAAAUCACAGUGCUGUCCCCACCAGCCAAGGAACACCAGGGAUGGCCAGCAAAUACCAGAAGCUGGAAAAGGCAAGAAACAGUCCUGCCCUCCAGGUUUCCAUGGAAGCACGGCCCUGCUGACCCCUGGAUUUGGGACUGACAGCUUCUGGGACUGUGAGGCAGGGAAGUUCUAUUGUUUUAAGCCCCCCAGGUUGUGUACUUUUUAUGGCAGUCCUAGGUGACCCUUGGCUUUCCUCUUUAAUUCAUAUUUUAAAAGUUCCUCUUCUGUCUGCCAUUCACCUGUUUCCCUUUGCAUUUUCUUAAUUUCUACCUAGGUCAAAUCUAUGUUGAGAUUUUACUUCUGCCCAGCAACCAUAGGGACUUGAUUAAUGGUGUUGUUUAUAGGAACCCCACUGUCCCAAAGGUGACAAUUUCUUUGAUCUCCUAUGUCAUGUACAUGAUAAGAUAGGAACCAAAAACUGCACCGGUAAAAUCUUCCCACCCAUUGUGUCCAUCAAAUCUAAAACUGCUCUGUUAAGGCAGUGGGUUUUGGUCUACCCAGCAUCAAGGAGAAACUAUCACUCGCUCACUCACCUGGAUCCAACCUCCUACUUCUCCUAUACCAAUCUCUUUCACGGUCAUGACUCACUUCGUACUUCCUCUGUAGAUGAAUCUGUGGUCCAGUCACUCAAACCAAUUCUGAAAGAAACCUGAGAAGUUCAGGUCUAUUGCUCUGUGAUGGCAGCUGAACUCCACACCCCUGGGCUCAUUUUGCACGUUGUACAUUGCAUUCCUUUAUCAACGUGAGUCCACUCUACUUUUAGGUUAUUGUCUAAUUGCCUGUCUCCUCCACACAACUGCAAGCAGGACCUGUCUUUCAUCUUUGUUUCCCCGAGGCUUAGCACAGUGAUUGGCACACAGUAGGCCUCUAGAUAUAUAUAUUCAAUUGAAUGAGAGGAAUGAGGGAAAGGCAGCAUCAGGCCAUCCUUGCUGCUUCCCUCUCUUUCUGACAACUGGAUGGGCUUCAGAUUGUUCAGCUAUCCAGCACCUACAUGUGAGUAUAGACAAAGGAUUUCCGAAACCACUACAAGAUAAAUUAUGUUCUAGGGCACCUGGCUGGCUCAGUCGGAAAAGCAUGCUAUGCUUGAACUUGGGGUCGUGAGUUCAAGCCCCACACUGGGUGUAGACAUGACUAAAAACAAUCAAUAAACUUAAAAAAAAAAAAAAAAGAUAAGUUAAGUUCUAGGGAAGUUUCAGAAACUCUGCUGGUAGAACCACAUAAACAAGGGGAUUUAACAUUCCUCUUUAUGUUGUUUCAGUGCAAUUACGUAUGUAUAGGAACUGGGGUUGGUUCAAAGGUUAAAGUGAGGUGAUUGUUUUGAUUUGGCAAUUAUUUAUGUCCUUCUGGACAUAACUAUGGGAUUGGAAUAUUUAUUUAUAAGGGAUUCAUCACAAGUGAGCACCCCACCAGGGGCCAAAAAGAUAUGAAAGAAUAACAACCUGAGUUUUCUGAGCCAGCAGAUAGUAGUCUGUCCUCAUGUGCAGGCCAAGGAGGUUCUACCUCUGCAAACAUGCUGACCAGCUUGGACUCAGAUGGACCCUGAGUGAGCAAGCCUGACUCCGAGGAGGAAGGAACACUCGUAGAAGUGGUGGGAUCCUGAUACUAAUUUUGGAUAGUCCCUAGAACCCCAUGUUCGUCUCACUGAGUGUCCUUUAAUAGACCCUGACUUGGUGCUCUUCUGUUCUUCCCCUGAAAACAUGCCUAUUGUAGGUUACAAUCCUGAUCUCUGGUGCUGAUACCUCUCCUUUACUCCAUUACAGUUGAUCUGCGUAGUAUCCGCAACCAAACCUGCUCCACCAGCCACCAGAUGACUCGAACAUCUGUUCAGGAUCUUUCUGAUGUGUUAUUCAUCCCAGAAACAGUGUUCUCAUCUCCAUAUUAUGGAUGGUUGAGGAAACCAAAGCUCUGAGAGGUUGUGACUCGCCUCAGGUCACCAACUGUUAAGUGGAGAAGCCAGGACUGAUCCUGCUGCCCAGGCAGAGCCUGCACCACAACCACUGUACUCUACCGCCCCCUAGUGGGCCCUGGUCUAACGGUGUUUCCCCAACACAGCACUCAGGUAGGAGCACCCCGGUGUCCCUCCCCACUGGGCAAGAAGGCAUUUUGCAGUCCCUCCUCUCAGCCCUGGCACCACACUGGCUGUGUAUGGCCAGGGAUAGCCCGGUAGCCCUGGCCUCAGGCACUCACCCCCAAAAAGCAGCCUUGGGUGGGGUGGUUGUCAUGUGUUGGUUACAAUGUUUCAUCCCUUCCUGUAGGAGCCUCUCUGAUGUUAGGGUUUCCCUACGUCUCUUUGGUUGUGUUGAUCUUUGCAACCAUGAAGAAACUCCUGGAUUUCUAGAUCCCAGCUACACAAAGUGUUUUCCAAAGUCGACAACUCUCCCAGUGUCUCUCCUGAUCUGAGUGGCAUGUGUGGGGUUGUGAGUGGGGGAUCUACCCUUGGAGAAGCGCCUUUUCCACUGCACACAAGCCCUUGGGGUUGUCUUCGGGAUUUCGGGCCAGGAAGUCCUGGUCCAGUGGGCGACACCGAUACCAUUUGUUGUUUGAUGCAGGAUUCACACAUUGCAUUUGGUGGCUCUGUAUGUUUAGUCUCUUUUGACCUAGAAUAAUCCUUCCUCCCACCUGAUAGAUGAUUGUUUUGUCUCACGGAACUUUUUGGGAGAGUCCUGGUGAGUUGUUGUAGAUGGUCUCCUCUUUUGUCUAAUAGUUUCUCCAUGGUUGGAUUCAGGUUAAAUAUUUCUGGCAAGAAUACUUUGUCGAUGACAUUUUAUACUUACUGUCUUUUAUACUUAUUGUCUUAUAUUACAAGGCACAAAAAAAAUCCUCAUUUGGAAUGACACACUCGACAAAUAUAUAUUGAUGGCAUGUCGCAUGGGGGUCGAGAACUCUGCUGGGCAACGAGGAUGCCUGGGUGCCGCUGAUAGGAUUAUGAGGGAAGAGAUAACUAAACCAAACAAAACCAAACCCCACAGGGGCAGGCUUACCGAUUGGGAAUCAGCUUGGCUACACAGAACAGAAAACUCAACUCACAGUAGGGGAUUUUUUUAGUUCCCACGGAUCCAUGGCUUCUGACCCACCACCCGGGACAUUUGAUCUUCCAGGGAGGAAGGAGAAAAGGGGCAUGCCUACUGCCUGCUCAGCUUUGAAGUAGUUUUCCCAAAACCAGGACCCGUUCUGGAGGCUGGAUGUCCUAGAUCAAGGGGUCAGCAGGAGUGGUUUCCUCAGGGACCUCUCCCUCCUUGCUUUGUGGAUGACUGUUUGCUCCCUGUAUCUUCACAUGGUCUUCCCGCGAUGUCAACAACAUGGUGAAGUAGUCUUCUGCUGUCUUCUUUGGGAGGAACUCUGAUUUUGACAGUUGCCCACGGAUGAGAAUGCUUUGGGGAAGUCUAGGAGUUCAGCAGAGAAGCUCCAGCACAUCACUGAAGAAAAAAAAUCAGGACUGGACACAUGAAAAUGUGUUGAAAAAGAAAGCAUCCUGUGCGGUUAUCCGGGAGGCCUCAUGAACUUGGCCCGACAUCGCAGCUGUCCUUGACCUCCGCAGCCAUUGCCCCAGAAACCAGCUGGCUUCCCGCAGCUGAGAACUGGCAGCCCCUGCCUCAGCUCCCCCCAGCGCUUCUGUUUUCUGCUCUGAAUAUGUCUCUUAGCACUCAGGAACAAGAGAUGACACAGACACAGGAGAACCCCUCGUGAAGUCAGAGGUGGAAACUGGAGCCAUGUGUUUGCGAACCAAAGACUGAUAAGGAUUGCUGGCAAGCCCAGAAGCAACAAGAAAGGUGUGGAGCAGUUGGUCUCCUAGACCAGGGAGCCUCCCCCUGCCCUGCUCCUUGGUGCAGACCUCUGGGCUCCAAAACUGUGAGAGAAUUCAUUUCCAUCGUAUGAUGUCCCCCUGCCCCUGGGGGACUCUGGGUUGUAACCAGUGCCUUGGAGUGAGCACACCCUAGACGGGGGUCUCGAGUUCCUGUCCAGCACCCUACCAGGCACAGGUUUCAGACCACCCCCAAGGGACUUCACAUGCAAGCACUUGGGAUCCAGGAACAACGAGAGAAUUCUCCAUAAAAGCAUGGCACGUGUUGCUGGUUGAGAUCAGAAGCACCCCCAGAAAGGGGAAGAAAAAAUGCAGGAAACAGGAAUUCCAGGGGAUCCAGGAAGAGCAACAUCAUCCAACCUGUUGAAUGAUCUGCCCAUGUUCUCUGGAGUCCAGAAGGGUGGCUGCUGACAUCCAGUCCUGCUAGUCACUUGGGAUCUGUGGCAUGUUGCUUUCCAGCAGAAAGAAGCUUUCUCAGAGGGAAUCUAAAAUAGGCAGUGCAAAGACACCUGUGAUUUCUCUCAGCAUACUCCGAGCCACAUGGGUGCCAAAGGGGAAAGAAGAUGACAGAAGAUCCACCAUCUUCCCAGGGCACGGCUUUGAAAUGCAAAUUCGUUUCCACUUGACCACAGACCAAGAAGGCACGAUGGGCAUCGGCAAUGAAGGAGGCGUUCAGAGAUCCGGCGGCAAGAAAGGGGAAAAGUGGACUGAAAAUAAAAGUGUGCAGAGCUUCCGGGACCCGUGGGACAAUGACCAUCUAACAUUCGUGUCCCUGGAGUCCCCAGCCUUUGGCCAGGGAGAGACAGGACACCAAGGGGAACUGGAGAGGAAAUUCCACUCCUUCCAGAAGCCUUUCCGAAAUGCAAUCGUUUAUAUCCUGCCUGAACACAUUCUGCAAGGCCAGUCUUUGCACUUCUGCUGUUCAUGAAGCUGAGCCUGCUCUGCAUCCGCCCCUUUGUGACCGCUCUCCCUCCGGCCUGCCUCGCUCCUGCUUCCCUCCCGGUGCCUUCCCUGAGCACGCAUCCCAUCAGCACGCUAGCACAGGGGAAUUAAUUGUCCAACACAUCUGACUUCCCUGGGUGCAUGUCCCAAGGCCAGAAAAAACCUUCAAGUGGAUAUUUUCAGGAGUCAGUGAGAAGGAGAAGUGAGCCUUCAAGAGAUUCAGCAACCUGCUGAAAGCGGAACCGGUGUUCAAACAGAGGUUCCCAUGUGACUAAAGCUAAGUACCAAAUGACUCCCAUGUGGGGUUGAACAAGCUGCUAGAAAGGUGAAGAACCUGUCUUCUCUUCAGGUUCUUAAAAAUGGUGGCUUCAGAGUGAAAUCUGCAUUUGGCACCGGCAAGGGAUUGGAACUUGGCGUUGUUACUUAAACUUCCUUGAUGAUGAGACUCACCUGGGCAAUUGUUGGAAAUACCUGGUCCUUCUCAGGUCUGCUGAAUCCCUGUCUCCUCGCAGAGGAACCCAGAGGAGUCUGAUGACCAGAGAAACAGAAAUGCUGGACGAUGGUCACAAUUCUGGCUUCCCAUUAGGACUACACGGAGAGAGGCACCUGGCUGGCUUGGUGGGUAGAGCAUGCAACAACUCUUGAUCUCCAGGUGGUGAGUUCAGGCUCCAUGU
Molecule: long non-coding RNA, 6770 nt
Organism: Mustela erminea (ermine)
Lineage: Eukaryota; Metazoa; Chordata; Mammalia; Carnivora; Mustelidae
Exons: 16
Source: RefSeq, a predicted model, not a curated record